Molecule: ribosomal RNA, 109 nt
Filed under: Otolemur garnettii (small-eared galago)
Lineage: Eukaryota; Metazoa; Chordata; Mammalia; Primates; Galagidae
Source: RNAcentral
CCAUACAUACCACCCUGCAUGUGCCCAAACUCAUCUGAUCUCAGAACCUAAGCAGGAUUGGGAAUAUUGGGAAUAUUUGGGAAUAUCCAGAAAUAUUAGGGAAUAUCGG